UAUAUAUUGAUGUGUUAUUUUUCGAYUCAUAAGGGCAAGUGGUUCACGGUCAUCUAAACAAGGUUCAAUGGAUGAUGAAGAUAAUAGUGAUGAAGGAGAUGAGGGUGACUACACAGUGUAUGAGUGCCCUGGGCUGGCUCCAACGGGUGAUAUGACAGUAGUCAACCCAUUAUUCAGCGAUCAGGAAGUCGUGGGCAGUGAUCAAGAUGCUAAUGGUAACCGUAGUGGCCAGAGCUCCCCUGGGACCUCUCGGCACAGCAGCACCACUAAACCUGAGUAACACUUUAUUUUGCCAGGGUUAAUUAAGGAGUAAUUAUUAGCUAUUAAUUAAUUUACCAAUAUACAAGAAUAUAUAUUACAAUAUCUCAUGAAUUGGACCAGUGACUAAUGGGAGGAUAGUUAUUUAUCUGUGUGGUAUUUUUUGGGUAAAAAUUCAAUGAUAAUCUUCAAGAAAAGAUUUCACAAAUUUAAAGAUUAAUUUUGAUAUUUUUGUUAAUGUUGUCUCAUUUGGUUCAGUUCGUUUUCUUUUUGAUCCAGUUUUUUGUAUUCUAUCUCUAAGAGAAAAAUAAUCUAUGGGAAAUUAUCUGUAUUCUUAAUAAAAAUUGACAAUAUAUUUAUUAUUGUCAACCAUCUUUUCUUAAUGAUAACAAAACUAACAACUGGGAAUGGAAUAUAAACAGAUCAAGCUCUAAAAACUCCUUCAAUAUGGAAUUGAUUAUAGGGAUAUUUAUUAGGGGAAUUUACGACUUGAUCAGCUUGACUAGAUUUAGUACUAAGUAUACUUCUCAAUUGUUGAUCAAGGUUUAGAAUCUCUCAAGAAACAAUUAACUUGAGUUAUGUUUUUGCAAUGAGAAUUUAAUACUUGAUCAAAAUGGUAGGUUUGAGUGACAGAUUCAAACUGAAAUUCACAGAUUCUAUUAUAAUGAAACAACAUUAUUUUUCCUAAUUUUGGGGAUGGUAUUUUUUACUUAAAUUUAGAUUAUAAUUAUAAUGAUUGUAUAUGAAUGUAGAGGGCCUUCAUGAAUUUGCUUCAUUGCUAUCAAAUGAUGAUUCCAAGUUGAUGCUGGAUUGAUAUAAGCAUAUAAAUAGAUAAACUUGUUUUACAAGGGUAGUAUGGUAUAAACAGACCUCUGGCCUUCUAUACAGGAACUAGACUUUUUAUGGCAUCAAGUCAUAACUGUCUGGAUUCCCCUGUACAUGAAUAUCUAAAUCCAUUGAGACAGCAUCUUCUCUUCCCACCUCCCUCCCUCCCUCAAAAUUAUCUUGCAGUGAUUCAGUAUCUGGAUGUUCCCCUUGAAGGGAUUGUGUAUCAUUCUCAGCAGAAAUCAAUCCAAUCUUGCCUUGGAAUCAUUGUUCAUCAAUGUCAAUUAUUAGCAAUUCAAAGAGAGGUCCUUGAGUAGAGAGGGGUGUUUUUAGAAGAGUUUUAAUCACAUAAGGUAAGAAGCUCAUACUGUAAACGUGCUCAUACUUGUGUAAUAGAAGUAGAUAUAUCUAGAUGUUAGUGGGUAAUAGAAAGUCUUUUCUAAGCUGCAAUUCAGGCAUUUUAUACUAUUUCUGCCUCGGCAAGUUGGCUUACAUUGUCAUGGUCAUAACAGUGACUCUAUACUCUGCUUUGUUCUGCUGUAACUUGACAAAUGCCAUAUUUGCAAAGUUCAAAUAUUUCUGGGCCAUAUUAGGAGUUUCGAGGUUGAGCAAAAGACUUGGUAGAGCUGGCAUUGCAAUGCUUUGUGAGUGUGUUUUAGGUUACAAAAUAUACAUCAUCUUAAAAAUAUGUUCCCUACAACAGCCCACAAUACACUUCAAUGCCAACUGAACCCAUUCUUUCCCUAAACCUUGGAGUGGGUAAUACUCUGCAUCUAUAUUCAAUAGAGUUAGAUAAAAAUGGUUGGGAGACCAAUAUAAAUCUGUUUAUCCAUGGGAGUAGCACAGAAAUGGUUCACUGUCAUUCACAAUUUAUUUAUGAUUUACCGGAGUUCUCCACUUGAUUUCACUUAUUUUUAGGGUGUGGUUUAAACAGUUUCUUUCCUAUCGUUAUUUCUGUCUCAUUUUAUACCACAAGUGCCUAGAGUAUAAAUGUGUGGCAUUUCUUUCUGCAAGGUUGUGUGAUAAGUUGCAGAAAGAUGUAUCUAAUAUUGGGUGCACCUAGAUUAAGGGAAAGUCUUCCAGUAUUGCAUUGGAAUAGGUGUUGUAUUCAUAGGAUUUUUCACUGCACAAUAGGUUACAUGGUAUAGGAUUUAGACCACACCCAGUAAGCCCAGUUAUCGUCUAAUUACAGGUAACUAUGGUGUGAUAAGACUGGUUGCACUUGCAAUUCAAGUGUAAUCAUAAACACAAGCUCAAACUUCCGUAAUGCUUGCAUAAUGCAAAUUAUGUUGCCGUUAUUCAUUGCAAGUGUUACAGGAAGUACCCUGCAUGCAAUUAUAGGAGCAUUGCCCAACUUGUAUGCAGAAUAUUUCCUGUGUAUACGAAUUAGAGUCGACUAACUACUAGGGCCAAGCCUUGUCUUUUUUUUAUGUUCCCUUUGCGCAAGGCCUUACAGCAAUUUCACAACAACCCCUCCAUCGAAACCUGUCAUUAAUUGAAAACUGGGCUUUAUUAAUGAUUAGCACCCCAUAUAUAUAGGUGCACGGUGUAUAUAGAAGAGACAAUAUAAUUCGUCUCUAUAGGACGAUAAUCAUUUUAACCAAGAUGAUAACAGAUUUAUUUAUCAGAAUUGUAUCGGUGGUAGGUAGAUGUUCAUUUCUCAGGUGUCUUGUUUUGUUCUCGUACAAUAUUUGUACAAAAAUAAAUGUUUUGUUCUCUGA
This is a long non-coding RNA of Actinia tenebrosa (Australian red waratah sea anemone), 2804 nucleotides long. NCBI's taxonomy places the organism in Eukaryota, Metazoa, Cnidaria, Anthozoa, Actiniaria, Actiniidae. The record is from RefSeq and is a predicted model, not a curated record.